CCUCUAGCAUAAAGUAUUAAAGGUCACGCCUGCCCAGUGAUAUAUUUUAAACGGCCGCGGGAUCCUCCACCGUGCAAAGGUAGCAUAAUCACUUGUCCCCUAAAUAGUGACUAGUAUGAAUGGCCAAAUGAAGAUUUAACUGUCUCUUAUAAUAGAUCUAUUAAAUUAAUCUCCCAGUACAAAAACUGGAAUAAAAACAUAAGACGAAAAGACCCUGUGGAACUUUAAGCUAAACUCAAUUUAAUGAAAAUAAAGCUUUUAGUUGGGGCAACUCUGGAAAAAAACAAAACUUCUAGCUACAUAAAUGAUAGACAUAUCUUACACCUCUUUUGACCCAGUCUUACUGAUUAAAGAACCAAGCUACCCCAGGGAUAACAGCGCUAUCCCCUCCGAGAGCCCAAAUCGACGAGUGGGGUUUACGACCUCGAUGUUGGAUCAGGGCCCCCAAACAGUGCAACAGCUGUUAAUGGUUUGUUUGUUCAACAAUUAAAGCCCUACGUGAUCUGAGU
RNAcentral lists this ribosomal RNA (509 nucleotides) under Echinosaura sp. OTC-2021a. Its description in RNAcentral is "partial large subunit ribosomal RNA". It matches the Rfam family "Bacterial large subunit ribosomal RNA", at positions 1831 to 2610 of the family's 2925-position model. The record is from RNAcentral. Lineage: Eukaryota; Metazoa; Chordata; Lepidosauria; Squamata; Gymnophthalmidae.